Molecule: ribosomal RNA, 254 nt
Filed under: uncultured bacterium
Lineage: Bacteria
Description: partial 16S ribosomal RNA
Rfam family: Bacterial small subunit ribosomal RNA
Source: RNAcentral
UACGUAGGGAGCGAGCGUUGUCCGGAUUCAUUGGGCGUAAAGAGCUCGUAGGCGGCUUGGUAAGUCGGAUGUGAAACCUCCAGGCUCAACCUGGAGUCGCCAUCCGAUACUGCCAUGGCUAGAGUCCGGUAGGGGCCCACGGAAUUCCUGGUGUAGCGGUGAAAUGCGCAGAUAUCAGGAGGAACACCGGUGGCGAAGGCGGGUCUCUGGGCCGUUACUGACGCUGAGGAGCGAAAGCGUGGGGAGCGAACAGG